GACGAACGCUGGCGGCGGGCUUAACACAUGCAAGUCGAACGGAAAGGCCCUGCUGUUGUGGGGUGCUCGAGUGGCGAACGGGUGAGUAACACGUGAGUAACCUGCCCUUGACUUUGGGAUAACUUCAGGAAACUGGGGCUAAUACCGGAUAGGAGCUCCUGCUGCAUGGUGGGGGUUGGAAAGUUUCGGCGGUUGGGGAUGGACUCGCGGCUUAUCAGCUUGUUGGUGGGGUAGUGGCUUACCAAGGCUUUGACGGGUAGCCGGCCUGAGAGGGUGACCGGCCACAUUGGGACUGAGAUACGGCCCAGACUCCUACGGGAGGCAGCAGUGGGGAAUAUUGCACAAUGGGCGGAAGCCUGAUGCAGCAACGCCGCGUGCGGUAUGACGGCCUUCGGGUUGUAAACCGCUUUCGCCUGUGACGAAGCGUGAGUGACGGUAAUGGGUAAAGAAGCACCGGCUAACUACGUG
Molecule: ribosomal RNA, 468 nt
Filed under: uncultured bacterium
Lineage: Bacteria
Description: partial 16S ribosomal RNA
Rfam family: Bacterial small subunit ribosomal RNA
Source: RNAcentral